CCGCUAUCCAUUUAUUGGUUAAUGUAUUUGGCGGGUAAAUUCUGUCGAGGCCGGAAGUCAUGAUCCAUAAACACUGGAACUGCAAGAAAAUCUAAAACACCUAUUUACGAUUUAAUAACUUGACUUUGUGGUUGGAAAUUCAUUAUAUUAUCAGUCAGGUUAGUCUCAUUCUUUCUCUUAUGACACAAAAUGCCCCUGUUACUGUGUAAUUUAAUGUUAACCGAUAUUAUGAAUGUUUAGC
RNAcentral lists this long non-coding RNA (241 nucleotides) under Mytilus galloprovincialis (Mediterranean mussel). Lineage: Eukaryota; Metazoa; Mollusca; Bivalvia; Mytilida; Mytilidae. The record is from RNAcentral.